AGUGAACGCUGGCGGCAGGCCUAAUACAUGCAAGUCGAACGGCAGCACAGCAGAGCUUGCUCUGUGGGUGGCGAGUGGCGGACGGGUGAGGAAUACGUGGGAAUCUGCCCAGUCGUGGGGGAUAACGUAGGGAAACUUACGCUAAUACCGCAUGCGCCCUUCGGGGGAAAGCCGGGGACCUUCGGGCCUGGCGCGAUUGGAUGAGCCCACGUCGGAUUAGCUAGUUGGCGGGGUAAAGGCCCACCAAGGCGACGAUCCGUAGCUGGUCUGAGAGGAUGAUCAGCCACACUGGAACUGAGACACGGUCCAGACUCCUACGGGAGGCAGCAGUAGGGAAUAUUGGACAAUGGGCGCAAGCCUGAUCCAGCCAUGCCGCGUGAGUGAAGAAGGCCCUCGGGUUGUAAAGCUCUUUUGUCCGGAAAGAAAAGCGCCGGGUUAAUACCCUGGUGUCCUGACGGUACCGGAAGAAUAAGCACCGGCUAACUUCGUGCCAGCCGCCGCAGUAA
RNAcentral lists this ribosomal RNA (506 nucleotides) under uncultured bacterium. Its description in RNAcentral is "partial 16S ribosomal RNA". It matches the Rfam family "Bacterial small subunit ribosomal RNA", at positions 29 to 523 of the family's 1533-position model. The record is from RNAcentral.